Molecule: transfer RNA, 74 nt
Filed under: Clostridiaceae bacterium
Lineage: Bacteria; Bacillati; Bacillota; Clostridia; Eubacteriales; Clostridiaceae
Description: tRNA-OTHER
Source: RNAcentral
GGAGUGGGGUUACAUCUGGAAAUCGUGUGAGCGUGAUGAGCGCUCCGAGGGUUCGAAUCCCUCUCUCUCCGCCA